Molecule: ribosomal RNA, 253 nt
Filed under: uncultured bacterium
Lineage: Bacteria
Description: partial 16S ribosomal RNA
Rfam family: Bacterial small subunit ribosomal RNA
Source: RNAcentral
UACGAAGGGGGCUAGCGUUGUUCGGAAUUACUGGGCGUAAAGCGCACGUAGGCGGACUUUUAAGUCAGGGGUGAAAUCCCGGGGCUCAACCCCGGAACUGCCUUUGAUACUGCAAGUCUAGAGGUCGAGAGAGGUGAGUGGAAUUCCGAGUGUAGAGGUGAAAUUCGUAGAUAUUCGGAGGAACACCAGUGGCGAAGGCUGCUCACUGGCUCGAUACUGACGCUGAGGUGCGAAAGCGUGGGGAGCAAACAGG